Molecule: ribosomal RNA, 483 nt
Filed under: uncultured bacterium
Lineage: Bacteria
Description: partial 16S ribosomal RNA
Rfam family: Bacterial small subunit ribosomal RNA
Source: RNAcentral
AUUGAACGCUGGCGGAAUGCUUUACACAUGCAAGUCGAGCGGCAGCGCGGCCUUCUUGCUGGCGUCGCGCUGCGAACGGGCGAGUAAUGCAUCGGAACAUGCCCAGUCUAUGGGGAUAACACUUCUAAAGAAGUGCUAAUACCGCAUACGUCCUUAUAUGGAAAGCGGUGGAUCGCAAGACCUCGCGCGAUUGGAUGUGCCGAUGUCAGAUUAGCUAGUGGGUUGGGUAAAGUCCUACGAAGGCGACUAUCUGUAGCUGGUCUGAGAGGAUGAUCAGCCACCCUGAGAUUGAGAAACGGCCAAGACUCUUAGGGGAGGCAGAAGUGGGGAAUUUUGGAAAAGGGGGGAAACCCUGCUGAAGCAAUUCCGCGUGAGUGAAGAAGGCCUUCGGGUUGUAAAGCUUUUUAGGAAGGAAGGAAACGGUGGGAUGUAACAUAGUACGCUAAUGACGGUACCUGACGAAGAAGCACCGGCUAACUACGU